This is a non-coding RNA of Homo sapiens (human), 146 nucleotides long. It matches the Rfam family "Metazoan signal recognition particle RNA". Rfam says of the family: The signal recognition particle (SRP) is a universally conserved ribonucleoprotein. It is involved in the co-translational targeting of proteins to membranes. Lineage: Eukaryota; Metazoa; Chordata; Mammalia; Primates; Hominidae. The record is from Rfam.
GCCGGGCGUGGUGGUGGGCGCCUGUAAUCCCUGCUACUCGGGAGGCUGAGGCAGAAGAAUCACUUGAACCCGGGAGGCAGAGGUUGCAGUGCUGAGAUUGUGGCACUGCACUCCAGCCUGGGCAACAGAGCGAGAUUCUGUCUCAA